RNAcentral lists this ribosomal RNA (803 nucleotides) under uncultured Burkholderiales bacterium. RNAcentral's name for it is "SSU rRNA". It matches the Rfam family "Bacterial small subunit ribosomal RNA", at positions 71 to 870 of the family's 1533-position model. Lineage: Bacteria; Pseudomonadati; Pseudomonadota; Betaproteobacteria; Burkholderiales. The record is from RNAcentral.
AGCACGGAGCUUGCUCUGGUGGCGAGUGGCGAACGGGUGAGUAAUAUAUCGGAACGUACCCUAGAGUGGGGGAUAACGUAGCGAAAGUUACGCUAAUACCGCAUACGAUCUAAGGAUGAAAGUGGGGGAUCGCAAGACCUCAUGCUCGUGGAGCGGCCGAUAUCUGAUUAGCUAGUUGGUAGGGUAAAAGCCUACCAAGGCAUCGAUCAGUAGCUGGUCUGAGAGGACGACCAGCCACACUGGAACUGAGACACGGUCCAGACUCCUACGGGAGGCAGCAGUGGGGAAUUUUGGACAAUGGGCGAAAGCCUGAUCCAGCAAUGCCGCGUGAGUGAAGAAGGCCUUCGGGUUGUAAAGCUCUUUUGUCAGGGAAGAAACGGUGAGAGCUAAUAUCUCUUGCUAAUGACGGUACCUGAAGAAUAAGCACCGGCUAACUACGUGCCAGCAGCCGCGGUAAUACGUAGGGUGCAAGCGUUAAUCGGAAUUACUGGGCGUAAAGCGUGCGCAGGCGGUUUUGUAAGUCUGAUGUGAAAUCCCCGGGCUCAACCUGGGAAUUGCAUUGGAGACUGCAAGGCUAGAAUCUGGCAGAGGGGGGUAGAAUUCCACGUGUAGCAGUGAAAUGUGUAGAUAUGUGGAGGAACACCGAUGGCGAAGGCAGCCCCCUGGGUCAAGAUUGACGCUCAUGCACGAAAGCGUGGGGAGCAAACAGGAUUAGAUACCCUGGUAGUCCACGCCCUAAACGAUGUCUACUAGUUGUCGGGUCUUAAUUGACUUGGUAACGCAGCUAACGCGUGAAGUAGACC